UUUUGAGGCUGGUGCACAUCAGAAGUGGCAUUCAGCUGGGAAUAACACAGAUUCUGCAUCUCAGCCUUAUUAAAUAAAGACAACUCUAUUUAAUGUGAAAUGAAUGGUAUGGAAACUGCGGCAGAUCGUGAAGAAAGAAGGAAGAACCAGUGAGAGCGGGGACAAGGGAGAAGAAAGAAGAACAGAGGCGUGAACGUGACUGUGGUCCUUCAGGUGGUGGUAAAAAGAAAUGCUUUAAAUCUGAAGAUGCAUGGAUGAUUAAGUUCAUUCAAAAUAUUUUGUGUUCUCUCUGACUUUCUGUGAAGAAUCUCACACUCGGGAAAGCUAAAAAUGCUCGUAUAUAGCCUAGAUUGUCAUAGCAGAAUGGAAGAACACCAUGUUGAUACAGGAUUCCCUGAGCUCUGAGGGAAAAGAUUUGAUGGAGGCCUAGAAUUUUGACUCUCUCUCCACAUAAUGUCUGGCUGUGGGUUUCUGCAUCUGUUCCCAUCUGCUUCCAGAGAAAGCUUCUCUGAUGAUGA
This is a non-coding RNA of Peromyscus maniculatus bairdii (prairie deer mouse), 518 nucleotides long. The record is from RefSeq and is a predicted model, not a curated record. NCBI's taxonomy places the organism in Eukaryota, Metazoa, Chordata, Mammalia, Rodentia, Cricetidae.